AGCCGAAACGCUCCGAUUCGGAGCGUCCACCGCGGGACGGUCUCCCGGUGCGGAUGAUUGGCAGACCAGA
Molecule: non-coding RNA, 70 nt
Filed under: Acetivibrio ethanolgignens
Lineage: Bacteria; Bacillati; Bacillota; Clostridia; Acetivibrionales; Acetivibrionaceae
Source: RNAcentral